CAGUGAGGCCCAUACUCGACCU
RNAcentral lists this non-coding RNA (22 nucleotides) under Arabidopsis thaliana (thale cress). Lineage: Eukaryota; Viridiplantae; Streptophyta; Magnoliopsida; Brassicales; Brassicaceae. The record is from RNAcentral.